Molecule: ribosomal RNA, 1303 nt
Filed under: uncultured fungus
Lineage: Eukaryota; Fungi
Description: eukaryotic LSU rRNA
Rfam family: Eukaryotic large subunit ribosomal RNA (bases 634-1303)
Source: RNAcentral
AAGUCGUAACAAGGUUUCCGUAGGUGAACCUGCGGAAGGAUCAUUAUCGAGUUUGAAUGCGGGCUCUGACGCUGGCUUCGGCAUGUGCUCGAGCCCCGCUCAUCCACUCAACCCCUGUGCACUUUAGAGGUGUAGUCCUCCGUCAUGGGAGCCGCUCUCCGGAGCUGGGACUGCGCCUCGACCCCUCUACACAAACACCCUCAAAAGUCUAGUGAAUGUGAUCGCCCUCUGGGCGGAAUUGUAAUACAACUUUCAACAACGGAUCUCUUGGCUCUCGCAUCGAUGAAGAACGCAGCGAAAUGCGAUAAGUAAUGUGAAUUGCAGAAUUCAGUGAAUCAUCGAAUCUUUGAACGCACCUUGCGCUCCUUGGUAUUCCGAGGAGCAUGCCUGUUUGAGUGUCAUGAAUAUCAUCAACCUCUGCCGCGUUUUGCGCGGUCGGAAGGCUUGGACUUUGNNGGUUUCUGACGGCCUCUUCUCGAGGUCGCCUCCCCUGNAAUGCAUUAGCUGGACGCGAUCCUGGUCCCUUGCGCGGAGCUCGGACUUCCACGGUGUAGUACGCUAUUCACCUGGGACGACGCCUCCCGANCGCUUCNAGNCCNCUUCGAACCGUCUUCGGACAACCUCUUGANAAUCUGGCCUCAAAUCAGGUAGGACUACCCGCUGAACUUAAGCAUAUCAAUAAGCGGAGGAAAAGAAACUANCAAGGAUUCCCCUAGUAACUGCGAGUGAAGCNGGAAGAGCUCAAAUUUAAANUCUGGCUGGCUUCGCCGCCCGAGCUGUAAUCUGAAGAAGCGUUUUCCGCGUCGGACCGUGUACAAGUCUCCUGGAACGGAGCUUCAUAGAGGGUGAGAGUCCCGUCCAUGACACGGACUGCCGAUGCUUUGUGAUACGCUCUCAAAGAGUCGAGUUGUUUGGGAAUGCAGCUCAAAAUGGGUGGUAAAUUCCAUCUAAAGCUAAAUAUUGGCGAGAGACCGAUAGCGAACAAGUACCGUGAGGGAAAGAUGAAAAGCACUUUGGAAAGAGAGUUAAACAGUACGUGAAAUUGUUGAAAGGGAAACGCUUGGAGUCAGUCGCGUCGUCCGGGACUCAGCCUUGCUUCUGCUCGGUGUACUUCCUGGUUGACGGGCCAACAUCGAUUUGGGUCGACGGAGAAAGGGGGCGGGAAUGUGGCACCCUUCGGGGUGUGUUAUAGCCCGCCUUCCGCAUGCGCUGGCCUGGAUCGAGGACCGCAGCGCGCCUUCAUGGCCGGGGACUUGUCCCACGUAACGCGCUUAGGAUGUUGGCAUAAUGGCUUUAAGCGACC